Molecule: long non-coding RNA, 743 nt
Filed under: Homo sapiens (human)
Lineage: Eukaryota; Metazoa; Chordata; Mammalia; Primates; Hominidae
Description: HSALNT0314281
Source: RNAcentral
CCACCCCCCGCCCCCUGCUCCCUUCCCGCCUUCCCUUCCGGAGUAGCGUGAGCUCACUUCCCUCACAGCCGAAGCGUCUGGCGCCAUCUUGGGUCAGGGCGGCGGGUCCCUGAAGGAGGCGGAGGCUCUGGGAGCUGGUAGCUGGGCGACUGGCUGAUGGGCGAGGGAGGGCGAGGGAGGGCGCCGCAACGGAACGAGGAACCCGGACAGUGAAGGAGGAAGAAACAAAGGAGCCAGCAGCACUAGAGAGUUCCCUUCUGGCUGAGCUGAGGGACGACAGAGAGGAAAGCCAUUCAGCUCCAGGGUCCUGACAAAAAGUUGGUUGACCCUGUAGAUGUGAGCAGAACUCUCAAAGUCACAUCACCCAAGAGGAAAACUAGUGUUUCUGCUACUGCUUCAGUGAGCGCAACUAAUCUGAUCAGCAUGGUCCAGGGACAGUUGAGAGUUCUUGGGCAAGAGGGGAAUCUGCUGCUGCAUCGAUGGGAAACACUCAGGCUCACCCUUGAAAUGCAUCUUAAGCCAUUGGGACCAAUUUGACCCACAAACCCUGAAAAAGAAGCAGCUUAUUUUUUUCUGCACUGUGGCCUGGCCCCAAUAUUCUCUCUCUGAUGGGGAAAAAUGGCCACCUGAGGGAAGUAUAAAUUACAAUACUAUCCUGCAGCUUGACCUUUUCUGUAAGAGGGAAGGCAAAUGGAGUGAAAUACCUUAUGUCCAAGCUUUCUUUUCAUUGAAGAAUAAUCCAC